Molecule: ribosomal RNA, 460 nt
Filed under: uncultured bacterium
Lineage: Bacteria
Description: bacterial SSU rRNA
Rfam family: Bacterial small subunit ribosomal RNA
Source: RNAcentral
AACGAACGCUGGCGGCAGGCCUAACACAUGCAAGUCGAGCGGGACCUUCGGGUCUAGCGGCGGACGGGUUAGUAACGCGUGGGAACGUGCCCAAAGGUACGGAAUAGCCUCGGGAAACUGAGAGUAAUACCGUAUGUGCCCCUCGGGGGAAAGAUUUAUCGCCUUUGGAUCGGCCCGCGUUGGAUUAGGUAGUUGGUGGGGUAAUGGCCUACCAAGCCGACGAUCCAUAGCUGGUUUGAGAGGAUGAUCAGCAACACUGGGACUGAGACACGGCCCCAGACUCCUACGGGAGGCAGCAGUGGGGAAUCUUAGACAAUGGGGGAAACCCUGAUCUAGCCAUGCCGCGUGAGCGAUGAAGGCCUUAGGGUUGUAAAGCUCUUUCAGAUGGGAAGAUAAUGACGGUACCAUCAGAAGAAGCCCCGGCUAACUCCGUGCCAGCAGCCGCGGUAAUGUCUGUACU